CGGCGGACGGGUGAGUAACGCGUGGGUAACCUGCCCUGUACAGGGGGAUAACAGUCAGAAAUGACUGCUAAUACCGUAUAAGACCACAGCACCGCAUGGUGCAGGGGUAAAAACUCCGGUGGUACAGGAUGGACCCGCGUCUGAUUAGCUGGUUGGUGAGGUAACGGCUCACCAAGGCGACGAUCAGUAGCCGGCUUGAGAGAGUGAACGGCCACAUUGGGACUGAGAGACGGCCCAAACUCCUACGGGAGGCAGCAUG
RNAcentral lists this ribosomal RNA (259 nucleotides) under uncultured bacterium. Its description in RNAcentral is "partial 16S ribosomal RNA". It matches the Rfam family "Bacterial small subunit ribosomal RNA", at positions 96 to 353 of the family's 1533-position model. The record is from RNAcentral.